GACGAACCGUGCAAACGUUGUUCGGAUUCACUGGGCUUAAAGGGCGCGUAGGCGGACCACCAAGUCGGGGGUGAAAUCUUUCAGCUUAACUGGAAAAUAGCUUCCGAUACUGGUGGCCUGGAGGGAGGUAGGGGUGCGUGGAACUCAGGGUGGAGCGGUGAAAUGCGUAGAUAUCCGGAGGAACACCAGAGGCGAAGGCGGCCUGCUGGGCUGCACCUGACGCUGAGCCGCGAAAGCCAGGGGAGCGAACGGG
This 253-nucleotide ribosomal RNA is filed under the name uncultured bacterium. RNAcentral describes it as "partial 16S ribosomal RNA". It matches the Rfam family "Bacterial small subunit ribosomal RNA", at positions 524 to 776 of the family's 1533-position model. The record is from RNAcentral.